GACGAACGCUGGCGGCGUGCUUAACACAUGCAAGUCGAACGGAAAGGCCUGCUUUCCCUUGUGGAUUGCGGGUACUCGAGUGGCGAACGGGUGAGUAACACGUGAGUGAUCUGCCCCCAACUUGGGUAUAAGCCUGGGAAACUGGGUCUAAUUCCCGAUAGGACUGCAGGGUGGUGCCUGUGGUGGAAAACGAUUUUCUAGUGGUUGGGGAUGAGCUCGCGGCCUAUCAGCUUGUUGGUGGGGUAAUGGCCUACCAAGGCGGCGACGGGUAGCCGGCCUGAGAGGGUGGACGGCCACAUUGGGACUGAGAUACGGCCCAGACUCCUACGGGAGGCAGCAGUGGGGAAUAUGGGACAAUGGGCGGAAGCCUGAUGCAGCGACGCCGCGUGGGGGAUGACGGCCUUCGGGUUGUAAACUCCUUUCGACCGCGAGGAAGCCACCUGGUUGGAAGGGUGGUGACGGUAGUGGUAGAAGAAGCACCGGCUAACUACGUG
This 494-nucleotide ribosomal RNA is filed under the name uncultured bacterium. Its description in RNAcentral is "partial 16S ribosomal RNA". It matches the Rfam family "Bacterial small subunit ribosomal RNA", at positions 28 to 507 of the family's 1533-position model. The record is from RNAcentral.